Molecule: ribosomal RNA, 406 nt
Filed under: uncultured bacterium
Lineage: Bacteria
Description: partial 16S ribosomal RNA
Rfam family: Bacterial small subunit ribosomal RNA
Source: RNAcentral
AUUGAACGCUGGCGGCAGGCUUAACACAUGCAAGUCGAGCGAGCGGCGGACGGGUGAGUAAUGUCUGGGACACUGCCUGAUGGGGGGGGAUCACUACUGGACACGGUAGCUAAUACCGCAUACCAUCAGAUGUGCCCAUAUGGGAUUAGCUAGUUGGUGGGGUAAUGGCUCACCUAGGCGACGCUCCCUAGCUGGUCUGAGAGGAUGACCAGCCACACUGGAACUGAGACACGGUCCAGACUCCUACGGGAGGCAGCAGUGGGGAAUAUUGCACAAUGGGCGCAAGCCUGAUGCAGCCAUGCCGCGUGUAUGAAGAAGGCCUUCGGGUUGUAAAGCACUUUCAGUGAGGAGGCGUUACUCGCAGAAGAAGCACCGGCUAACUCCGUGCCAGCAGCCGCGGUAAUAC